AAGAGACAGCGCCGCCGGCCGUGGGGAGCGGACGCAGUGAUUUGCUCCCCCUCGUGCAGCAACCCCCACACCCAGCACCAGGCCCCCAGAACUCUCCUUCCAGCUGAACUCCCUGGGAACAAGUCAGUUGGGCUGAUCACUGAACUCACAUUUCUGGACCUGAGGAGCCUGUUCCUCUCACGCCCUCACCUGGCUGAGCCGCAGUAGUUCUUCAGUGGCAAGCUUUAUGUCCUGACCCAGCUAAAGCUGCCAGUUGAAGAACUGUUGCCCUCUGCCCCUGGCUUCGAGGAGGAGGAGGAGCUGCUUUCCCCAUCAUCUGGAAGGAAGCUGUGUCUGUUCGAUUUGGUGGGAGGAGAUGUGCAGGGAGCUGUAUCUUGUCCUCCGCUUGUGAAAAACUCAAGGAUGUGGAGAAGAGUAGACCGUGGAACCCUGCUCUUCUGCAGCCAAGCUGA
Molecule: long non-coding RNA, 452 nt
Filed under: Homo sapiens (human)
Lineage: Eukaryota; Metazoa; Chordata; Mammalia; Primates; Hominidae
Description: non-protein coding MIR22HG:47
Rfam family: mir-22 microRNA precursor family (bases 192-275)
Source: RNAcentral